This 324-nucleotide ribosomal RNA is filed under the name uncultured bacterium. Its description in RNAcentral is "bacterial SSU rRNA". It matches the Rfam family "Bacterial small subunit ribosomal RNA", at positions 72 to 422 of the family's 1533-position model. The record is from RNAcentral.
GUAGCAAUACAUCACCGGCGGACGGGUGCGUAACGCGUGGGAAUAUACCUAUUGGUUCGGAACAACUGAGGGAAACUUCAGCUAAUACCGAAUGUGCCCUAACGGGGAAAGAUUUAUCGCCAAUGGAUUAGCCCGCGUUCGAUUAGCUAGUUGGUGGGGUAACGGCCCACCAAGGCGAUGAUCGAUAGCUGUUCUGAGAGGAAGAUCAGCCACACUGGGACUGAGACACGGCCCAGACUCCUACGGGAGGCAGCAGUUGGGAAUCUUGGACAAUGGGGGAAACCCUGAUCCAGCCAUGCCGCGUGAGUGAUGAAGGCCUUCGGG